RNAcentral lists this ribosomal RNA (617 nucleotides) under Micrococcus luteus. Its description in RNAcentral is "bacterial SSU rRNA". It matches the Rfam family "Bacterial small subunit ribosomal RNA", at positions 56 to 688 of the family's 1533-position model. The record is from RNAcentral. Lineage: Bacteria; Bacillati; Actinomycetota; Actinomycetes; Micrococcales; Micrococcaceae.
UGCAGUCGACGAUGAAGCCCAGCUUGCUGGGUGGAUUAGUGGCGAACGGGUGAGUAACACGUGAGUAACCUGCCCUUAACUCUGGGAUAAGCCUGGGAAACUGGGUCUAAUACCGGAUAGGAGCGUCCACCGCAUGGUGGGUGUUGGAAAGAUUUAUCGGUUUUGGAUGGACUCGCGGCCUAUCAGCUUGUUGGUGAGGUAAUGGCUCACCAAGGCGACGACGGGUAGCCGGCCUGAGAGGGUGACCGGCCACACUGGGACUGAGACACGGCCCAGACUCCUACGGGAGGCAGCAGUGGGGAAUAUUGCACAAUGGGCGAAAGCCUGAUGCAGCGACGCCGCGUGAGGGAUGACGGCCUUCGGGUUGUAAACCUCUUUCAGUAGGGAAGAAGCGAAAGUGACGGUACCUGCAGAAGAAGCACCGGCUAACUACGUGCCAGCAGCCGCGGUAAUACGUAGGGUGCGAGCGUUAUCCGGAAUUAUUGGGCGUAAAGAGCUCGUAGGCGGUUUGUCGCGUCUGUCGUGAAAGUCCGGGGCUUAACCCCGGAUCUGCGGUGGGUACGGGCAGACUACAGUGCAGUAGGGGAGACUGGAAUUCCUGGUGUAGCGGUGGAAUG